This 60-nucleotide transfer RNA is filed under the name Escherichia coli. Its description in RNAcentral is "tRNA-OTHER". Lineage: Bacteria; Pseudomonadati; Pseudomonadota; Gammaproteobacteria; Enterobacterales; Enterobacteriaceae. The record is from RNAcentral.
GGGUGAUUAGCUCAGCUGGGAAGGAGGGGGUCGGCGGUUCGAUCCCGUCAUCACCCACCA